RNAcentral lists this ribosomal RNA (439 nucleotides) under uncultured bacterium. RNAcentral describes it as "partial 16S ribosomal RNA". It matches the Rfam family "Bacterial small subunit ribosomal RNA", at positions 338 to 795 of the family's 1533-position model. The record is from RNAcentral.
CCUACGGGUGGCAGCAGUGGGGAAUAUUGCACAAUGGGCGAAAGCCUGAUGCAGCAACGCCGCGUGAGCGAUGAAGGCCUUCGGGUCGUAAAGCUCUGUCCUCAAGGAAGAUAAUGACGGCACUUGCGGAGUAAGCCCCGGCUACCUACGUGCCAGCGGCCGCGGUAAUACGAGGGGGGCUAGCGUUAUCCGGAUUUACUGGGCGGAAAGGGUGCGUAGGUGGUUUCUUAAGUCAGAGGUAAAAGGCUACGGCUAAACCGUAGUAAGCUUUUGAAACUAGGAAGCUAGAGUGCAGGAGAGGAGAGUGGAAUUCCUAGUGUAGCGGUGAAAUGCGUAGAUAUUAGGAGGAACACCAGUUGCGAAGGCGGCUUUCUGGACUGUAACUGACACUGAGGCACGAAAGCGUGGGGAGCGAACAGGAUUAGAUACCCGAGUAGUC